Molecule: RNA transcript, 1310 nt
Organism: Cucurbita maxima (winter squash)
Lineage: Eukaryota; Viridiplantae; Streptophyta; Magnoliopsida; Cucurbitales; Cucurbitaceae
Gene name: serine/threonine-protein kinase 19
Exons: 9
Source: RefSeq, a predicted model, not a curated record
GGAGGGAACAAAACUGGAGGGAAGAGAUUCCUUCUCACAGUUACAGUUGAGGUGGAAGAAGCUACUGCAUCGAUCCAAUUCCGCGCCAAUGAACAGUUCUUCGGAAUCAUCUAAAGCAAGGAAACGCCGAAGAGAGGCCGAAAUUGAAGAUGAUGGCGAUGGCAAUGGCAAUGACAAUUCUGAAAUUGACUCUCUAGAGGAUUGUCUUACAUUUAGCGAUACUUUGGUGGCGCUUCGUAUGAUGCGAGUUCAGUUUCCCAACAUCGACAAGGUGUCAAUUCAGCCAUUCAUUUUGCAAUCACAGUUGUAUAGUACUUUGAAAGACCGAACAGAAGUAGACAGGGAACUAGAGUGUCUAAAACGAGAAAAAGUAGUGCGUGUAUUCAAACUGAAUACUGGACAAGAUGAUCAUGCAAUAAUGUUUCUGGAUGACUAUCUGAAGCAGAUUGACCAUGUGAUAUCAAGAUUUGAAGAAAGGAUGCAACUUGGCACGGGAAUUUUUCAGUGGUUUAAGACGCAUGUUCUGGAUUGCAAAUUGGAACCUAGUAUUGGACAUCAGGAGCUUUGCACUCUCUUAUCUCGUGGGGGAAAGGUUAAAGAUGAAGAUAUCUCCCUCUUGAUCAACGCUGGACUCCUUAAUCGCCAACUUAUUGAUCCAAACGUGUAUUGGUUUGCAAUUCCAAGUAUUGGUUCAGUACUGAAAGGCAUUUCUCAGGGUAGAAAGGAACUCAUUUCUUUGCUAAAACGUACCAAAUAUAAAGAAAUGAUGAUGACAUCUUUGCAGAAGAAGCGUCUUCGUUUUUCUUCGCUCGAUAUGAGAUUUCACAUACGGGAUUUAAUUGGCUCGGGUUACCUCCGAACUGUGCAAUCACCAACAGGCUUACUUGUUCAGUUAUCGAAAGAUUGAAAACCAGGGAGGAUUGAAUCGUGUGCUUCUGUUUGCUGUCAUCCCCUUCAUGUUUAUUAGCUCAAAGGUUGACCUGGUGUUUGCCUGAUAGACUUGAUGUAUUUGUCUCAGCUGGUUUUUGGAACACACUUCAGGAAUAAGGAAAGAUUUCUGUGGUCUAAUAUUGUUAUGGAUUUCUCUGGAAGCUGUGGAACAGAGAAACCAGAGGGUCUUCGAAGUGUGCGUUCUCAACGAGUUAUGUGAGUGUAUUAGACUCUUCGCAUAUCCCCCGUCUGGUGUUCUCUCUCUAAAUACUUUUAUAAUUAUGAUAUUGUUCAUAUUUCGGCCAAUUGGGAUUCCUUUUUGUAACCCUUUGACUUUGUAGGGAUAUCUCGUCUCCCCUUUUGUACGAUCCUUUCAUCAA